Long non-coding RNA from Oreochromis niloticus (Nile tilapia), 713 nucleotides. RefSeq lists it as uncharacterized. Lineage: Eukaryota; Metazoa; Chordata; Actinopteri; Cichliformes; Cichlidae. The record is from RefSeq and is a predicted model, not a curated record. The transcript has 4 exons.
GAGGAGUGACCGUGUUUGAGUGUGAGUGCAGAGAGCCCGCCGAGGGCGACACACUGCAACACCAUCACCUCCGUCCUCCACCAUCAUGCCAGAGCUCACGGUCCCGGAUUUAUCCAUGGUAUGUGAGGAGCCUCGGUAUAAGCAAACUAAGUGAAGGUUGUGGACCCUGCAGGUCAGCAAACCCACCCUGAACCACCAUGACCAGCGUCAACUCUCCAGCCUGCCUGCUCGCCCGAAACCACUUCUACCGAAGUCUCCCGCCGAGUCCAGAACCCACCAAGCCCGCACACAAGCAGAGACUGCCCACGCUUUGGGUUACCGUGGAAACAGCUCCAGGACUGCCGGGUCUCGUGGGAACCAAAGGAUUAUGGGUCAGCAUCGUCCUCGGCUCUUCUUCCUCUUCCUCCAACUUCAAACCAAGCAACCCCGCCGACCAGAGAGCCAAGUAGAUGAAACAAGCAUACCGUUCCUCUGCGUUCCUCUGAACGUCCACACUCAAUAACAGGGCGGCGAUCCCCUGGGGACAGGCUCCUCCUCCUCUGAGCUCACUGUAGCAGGCAACGAACCACAGAGCGACCCUCCAGAACCACGAGCAGGGCGUGGCUAAAAAAAAAAUGGCUCCAGUUCCUCAAACCAAAGCGUGAACUUGUUCCUGAUUGGUUUAUGGUUUUGUUGCUGUUUUCAGGUGUCAGUGAAUAAAACGUGAAACUGGU